CUCUUAUCCUGAGUGGUGGAGGGAUAUGGACCCAAUGAAACCCAGCAACCUCUUUUUACAUAUAAAAAGAAAGGUGCCAAACCGUUUGCAGACCUAUAAUGUCUGAACGAUAAGAG
Molecule: non-coding RNA, 116 nt
Organism: Streptomyces sp. WAC00263
Lineage: Bacteria; Bacillati; Actinomycetota; Actinomycetes; Kitasatosporales; Streptomycetaceae
Source: Rfam